Molecule: ribosomal RNA, 488 nt
Filed under: uncultured bacterium
Lineage: Bacteria
Description: bacterial SSU rRNA
Rfam family: Bacterial small subunit ribosomal RNA
Source: RNAcentral
GAUGAACGCUAGCUACAGGCCUAACACAUGCAAGUCGAGGGGCAGCGGGAAGGAAGCUUGCUUUCUUUGCCGGCGACCGGCGCACGGGUGCGUAACGCGUAUCGAACCUACCCUUUACUCGGGAACAGCCUUGCGAAAGCAAGAUUAAUGCCCGAUGUUCCGCGUUUGCCGCAUGGCAAAUUCGGCAAAGAUUUAUUGGUAAAGGAUGGCGAUGCGUCCCAUUAGUUAGUUGGCGGGGUAACGGCCCACCAAGACGACGAUGGGUAGGGGUUCUGAGAGGGAAGGUUCCCCCCACAUUGGAACUGAGACACGGUCCAAACUCCUACGGGAGGCAGCAGUGAGGAAUAUUGGUCAAUGGGCGAGAGCCUGAACCAGCCAAGUAGCGUGCAGGAAGACGGCCCCUAUGGGUUGUAAACUGCUUUCAUCGGGGAUAAAGUGUACCAUGUAUGGUGUUUUGCAGGUACCGCAUGAAUAAGGACCGGCUAAUU